RNAcentral lists this ribosomal RNA (371 nucleotides) under uncultured fungus. RNAcentral's name for it is "eukaryotic LSU rRNA". It matches the Rfam family "Eukaryotic large subunit ribosomal RNA", at positions 40 to 398 of the family's 3401-position model. Lineage: Eukaryota; Fungi. The record is from RNAcentral.
AUAUCAAUAAGCGGAGGAAAAGAAACUAACAAGGAUUCCCUAGUAACUGCGAGUGAAGCGGGAAAAGCUCAAAUUUAAAAUCUGGUGCAGUCAUCUGCUCGCUUCGAGUUGUAAUCUAGAGAAGUGCUUAUCCGCGCUGGACCGUGUACAAGUCUCCUGGAAUGGAGCGUCAGUAGAGGGUGACAAUCCCGUCUUUGACACGGACUAACCAGGGCUUUGUGAUAUGCUCUCGAAGAGUCGAGUUGUUUGGGAAUGCAGCUCUAAAAUGGGUGGUAAAUUCCAUCUAAAGCUAAAUAUUGGCGAGAGACCGAUAGCGAACAAGUACCGUGAGGGAAAGAUGAAAAGAACUUUGAAAGAGAGUUAAACAGUAC